GACGAACGCUGGCGGCGUGCUUAACACAUGCAAGUCGAGCGGUAAGGCCCUUUCGGGGGUACACGAGCGGCGAACGGGUGAGUAACACGUGGGUGACCUGCCCUUAGCUCUGGGAUAAGCCUGGGAAACUGGGUCUAAUACCGGAUAUGACUCCAUAACGCAUGUUGUGGGGUGGAAAGCCUUGUGCGGCUAGGGAUGGGCCCGCGGCCUAUCAGCUUGUUGGUGGGGUGAUGGCCACCAAGGCGACGACGGGUAGCCGGCCUGAGAGGGCCGACCGGCCACAC
This 284-nucleotide ribosomal RNA is filed under the name uncultured bacterium. RNAcentral's name for it is "partial 16S ribosomal RNA". It matches the Rfam family "Bacterial small subunit ribosomal RNA", at positions 28 to 313 of the family's 1533-position model. The record is from RNAcentral.